Molecule: long non-coding RNA, 696 nt
Filed under: Lonchura striata (white-rumped munia)
Lineage: Eukaryota; Metazoa; Chordata; Aves; Passeriformes; Estrildidae
Description: domestica (Bengalese finch) lncRNA (ENSLSDG00000012322.1)
Source: RNAcentral
AUGAACCUUCUGGGAACGCGAUUCCCACUGGGAUCCAACACCGGCGAAGGAAUUUGGGAUCGUUUUGGAUUAAAAUUCUUGGAGUCUUCUUCUGGACGCCGUGAUUCCAAGUUGGAUCAACAAUUGUUGAUGAAGUUUGGGAUCAUCCUUGGGUUGAGAUCUCCAAAAUCCAGGAUGAUCCUCCUGGACCUCACAAUUCCAGCUGGGACCCAACACCGAGAUGGCGCCGAAGUUGAAGAAAAAAGGGCACUCGGGGCGGGAGCAGAAAAAGCACCACCACCACCACCACCAGCCGCCGCCGCAGCCGCCGCCGGCGCCGCCGCAGCCCGCGCCGCCGGCGCUGCAGCCGCCGCAGCCGCCGCCCGUCCCGCAGCCCGCGGCGCCGCUGAAGGCGUCGCCGCCGCCGCCCUUCGUCGCCGCGCCGGUGCCCGUCCUGGAGCACCCCUUGCCGGGGACCAUGUUCGACACCAUGGCCCACUUCGGCCAACCCAUCCUGCACCUGCCCCAGGCCGAGCUGCCCCCGCCCCACCUGCCCCCGGCGCCCGAGCACAGCCCCUCGCCCCACCUCAACCAGCACGUGGUGUCUCCUCCAGCUUUGCACAACGCUCUGCCUCAGCAGCCCUCGAGGCCCAGCAACCGCGCGGCGGCGCUGCCCCCGAAGCCGCCGCGGCCGCCGGCCCCGUCGCCGGCGCUGCC